RNAcentral lists this ribosomal RNA (264 nucleotides) under uncultured bacterium. RNAcentral's name for it is "partial 16S ribosomal RNA". It matches the Rfam family "Bacterial small subunit ribosomal RNA", at positions 90 to 354 of the family's 1533-position model. The record is from RNAcentral.
UUCGAGUGGCGGACGGGUGAGUAACGCGUGGGUAACCUGCCUUACACAGGGGGAUAACACCUGGAAACAGGUGCUAAUACCGCAUAAGCGCACAGGGCCGCAUGGCCCGGUGUGAAAAACUCCGGUGGUGUAAGAUGGACCCGCGUCUGAUUAGCUUGUUGGCGGGGUAGAGGCCCACCAAGGCGACAAUCAGUAGCCGGCCUGAGAGGGUGGACGGCCACAUUGGGACUGAGACACGGCCCAAACUCCUACGGAAGGCAGCAG